AAUGCAUACAUAUUACAAAAAUAUGGGCUAUAACAGUUGUAUUGAUGUAUAGCAACUUGAAAUGCUCCCACAAAUGUCACUACAACAUGUAAAAAAAUAAUAUAAGCUCUGGUGGACUUGGUUCUAUGGUAGGUCUUAAAGGGUUAACCGCGACUAACUGAUUAUCAGCACCUAGCUGUUAAUUACCUUUUUAACACCUAUGGAAGGAGUAAAAGUCCACUUGUUCAGAGAACAGCAUAGUCUUGUGAAAACUUUAUUCUUCAUGGCUGUUUAUUGUGUUUCUGUGCUUUACAGUUUUUUGUUUUUUUUUGUUUUGGCUCUCUUACAUUUCUCUCUGUCAUCUUUUUAUUUAUUUAUUUAGCAUUUUGUUUUGACUCUUUGUAGUAAUGAUGUACCUCGGCUGUCACUUUGAGUCUCCUGGUUGGUACACUGAGUCCAUUGUAUUGAUCUUCUUUGCUGUCAUUUUGAGUCUUUUUCAGUUAUUUUGCAUGUCUUUGUUAUUUUGAGUCUCUAUGCAGUCUUGUUUUAAGUCUGUUUAACCCUUGAUGGGUCUUCAUUUUAUUGUGUACACUAAAUUUUGGUCUUUGUUGUUGUUUUCAGACCCUUUUAUGUUGUCAUAAAGCUUUGAGAGAUAGAUGCGGUCACGACUUUGAGAUCAUAGUGUUCAUUCGCUUAUUUGUCCUCUUUAAAGAAGCUUAAUGUGUUCAUGUAUGAGUCCAGUCAAAGCUAUUUUUGAGAUUUCUGUUGUUAGAUUUUCAUAAGAUGAGAAUCAUCAGUAAAGCAGUUUGUCAAACACAUGAAGAUGAUGAUUUGUUCGAUAUGUUGAUGUCAGACAGUUUUGACUGGCAGAAAUAUGACACUGACUGUCAGAAAUCAGAUACUGGAGAAUGAAAGUGAAGCCAGAAAAUGUGUGACCACUGUCAUUUUCAUUCUCAUAUUUUUUUUCAGCUUUUAUCUCAGGAGGGAAAAAACAGACUGCAGCUGGAAGAAAGACAGUUCACUGUUGUGCAUGAACACUGAGGAAAUUAAUUGGUGAUUCUGUUUAU
Long non-coding RNA from Astatotilapia calliptera (eastern happy), 1046 nucleotides. The record is from Ensembl. Lineage: Eukaryota; Metazoa; Chordata; Actinopteri; Cichliformes; Cichlidae.